AGAUGCUUUGGUGCCUUCGGGAACUCUGAGACAGGUGCUGCAUGGCUGUCGUCAGCUCGUGUUGUGAAAUGUGGUUAAGUCCCGCAACGAGCGCAACCCUUAUCCUUUGUUGCCAGCGGUCCGGCCGGGAACUCAAAGGAGACUGCCAGUGAUAAACUGGAGGAAGGUGGGGAUGACGUCAAGUCAUCAUGGCCCUUACGAGUAGGGCUACACACGUGCUACAAUGGCGCAUACAAAGAGAAGCGACCUCGCGAGAGCAAGCGGACCUCAUAAAGUGCGUCGUAGUCCGGAUUGGAGUCUGCAACUCGACUCCAUGAAGUCGGAAUCGCUAGUAAUCGUAGAUCAGAAUGCUACGGUGAAUACGUUCCCGGGCCUUGUACACACCGCCCGUCACACCAUGGGAGUGGGUUGCAAAAGAAGUAGGUAGCUUAACCUUCGGGAGGGCGCUUACCACUUUGUGAUUCAUGACUGGGGUGAAGUCGUAACAAGGUAGGCGUAGCGAG
This 503-nucleotide ribosomal RNA is filed under the name uncultured bacterium. Its description in RNAcentral is "bacterial SSU rRNA". It matches the Rfam family "Bacterial small subunit ribosomal RNA", at positions 1004 to 1509 of the family's 1533-position model. The record is from RNAcentral.